This 308-nucleotide ribosomal RNA is filed under the name Alexandrium margalefii. Its description in RNAcentral is "partial Bacterial large subunit ribosomal RNA". It matches the Rfam family "Bacterial large subunit ribosomal RNA", at positions 861 to 1168 of the family's 2925-position model. Lineage: Eukaryota; Dinophyceae; Gonyaulacales; Pyrocystaceae. The record is from RNAcentral.
GAAAUCUAUUUAGGUAGAGCGUCACGAUUAGACUCUGGGGGGUAGAGCACUGAAUGGGCUAGGGGUCCUCACCGGAUUACCAAACCUUAUCAAACUCCGAAUACCAAGAAGUACUAAUCGGCAGACACACGGCGGGUGCUAACGUCCGUCGUGGAGAGGGAAACAACCCAGACCGCCAGCUAAGGUCCCAAAAUAUUGCUAAGUGGGAAACGAUGUGGGAAGGCAUAGACAGCUAGGAGGUUGGCUUAGAAGCAGCCACCCUUUAAAGAAAGCGUAAUAGCUCACUAGUCGAGUCGGCCUGCGCGGAA